This 74-nucleotide transfer RNA is filed under the name Candidatus Vogelbacteria bacterium RIFOXYD2_FULL_44_9. RNAcentral describes it as "tRNA-Trp". It matches the Rfam family "tRNA". Rfam says of the family: Transfer RNA (tRNA) molecules are approximately 80 nucleotides in length. The record is from RNAcentral. Lineage: Bacteria; Candidatus Vogeliibacteriota.
GGGCCCAUAGUUUAGUGGUAGAACGUCCGUCUCCAAAACGGAUAGCCGAGGUUCGAGUCCUCGUGGGCCCGCCU